Molecule: small RNA, 127 nt
Filed under: Marmota monax (woodchuck)
Lineage: Eukaryota; Metazoa; Chordata; Mammalia; Rodentia; Sciuridae
Source: RNAcentral
GCUGAGUGCUGUGGCGCACGCCUGUAAUCCCAGCAGCUCGGGAGGCUGAGGCAGGAGGAUCGCAUUUUCAAAGCCAGCCUCAGGAAUUUAGCAAGGCCCUAAGCUACUCAGUGAGACCCUGUCUCUG